Molecule: ribosomal RNA, 547 nt
Filed under: uncultured bacterium
Lineage: Bacteria
Description: bacterial SSU rRNA
Rfam family: Bacterial small subunit ribosomal RNA
Source: RNAcentral
GGAAUAUUGGGCAAUGGAGGAAACUCUGACCCAGCGACGCCGCGCGCGGGAUGAAGGCCUUCGGGUUGUAAACCGCUUUCAGUAGGGAAGAAGCGAAAGUGACGGUACCUACAAAAGAAGCACCGGCUAACUAUGUGCCAGCAGCCGCGGUAAUACAUAGGGUGCAAGCGUUGUCCGGAAUUAUUGGGCGUAAAGAGCUCGUAGGUCGUUUGUUACGUCGGAUGUGAAAACCUGAGGCUCAACCUCAGGCCUGCAUUCGAUACGGGCAAACUAGAGUUUGGUAGGGGAGACUGGAAUUCCUGGUGUAGCGGUGGAAUGCGCAGAUAUCAGGAGGAACACCAAUGGCGAAGGCAGGUCUCUGGGCCAAUACUGACACUGAGGAGCGAAAGUCUGGGGAGCGAACAGGAUUAGAUACCCUGGUAGUCCAGACCGUAAACGGUGGGCACUAGUUGUGGGAACCUUCCACGGUUUCUGCGACGCAGCUAACGCAUUAAGUGCCCCGCCUGGGGAGUACGAUCGCAAGAUUAAAACUCAAAGGAAUUGACGG